Molecule: ribosomal RNA, 246 nt
Filed under: uncultured bacterium
Lineage: Bacteria
Description: partial 16S ribosomal RNA
Rfam family: Bacterial small subunit ribosomal RNA
Source: RNAcentral
CGAGCGCCCCGCAAGGGGAGCGGCAGACGGGUGAGUAACGCGUGGGAAUCUACCCAUCUCUACGGAACAACUCCGGGAAACUGGAGCUAAUACCGUAUACGUCCUUUUGGAGAAAGAUUUAUCGGAGAUGGAUGAGCCCGCGUUGGAUUAGCUAGUUGGUGGGGUAAAGGCCUACCAAGGCGACGAUCCAUAGCUGGUCUGAGAGGAUGAUCAGCCACACUGGGACUGAGACACGGCCCAGACUCC